This 1265-nucleotide unclassified non-coding RNA is filed under the name Amphibalanus amphitrite. RNAcentral describes it as "protein ALP1-like, transcript variant X2". Lineage: Eukaryota; Metazoa; Arthropoda; Thecostraca; Balanomorpha; Balanidae. The record is from RNAcentral.
GUACAAGGGCGCACCGUGUAGGUUCACAGACACCUGCGCAAGUUUUUCAAGGCUGUGACCUCCAGCAUGGGUGACUACAUCACCAUGCCAGGUGCAGAUGAAGCCAAAGAAAUUGCUGCCCGGUGGCAGAACAAGUUUGCAUUCCCACAGGUGUUUGGUGCCAUUGACGGCACACAUAUACCAAUUACAGCACCUAUGGAUGGUAGCAGAGACUUCAUAAAUAGAAAAGGAUGGGCAUCUGUCAUCCUGCAGGCAGUUUGCGAUGACAAAUAUUGUUUUCGGAGCAUUAACUGCGGAGCACCUGGUAGCUGGCACGACGCUGCCGUGCUGCGCGACUCCACGCUCUUCAGGGACUGCGGCCGCAUUCCAAAGGAACCCGUCUGCAUCGAAGACACUUCAGUCAACCUGCUGAUUGUCGGCGACCCCGCAUAUCCAUUACUGCCGUGGCUUAUGAAGGGCUACCCAUACCAUGGAAUAGCAGCCGCCAACACGGCUGAGCGGGAGUCUUUCAAUGUUUACAUGAACUCUGGACGCAUGCUGAUCGAAGGCGCAUUCGGCCGUUUGAAAGGUCGGUGGAGAAAGCUGCUUAAGCGCAACGAGCUCGAUCUAGGCCAAAUCAAAUUAUUGAUUGCCACAUGUUGUAUCCUCCAUAAUUUCUGUGAAUCUCAAGGAGAGCAGUUCUAUGACACGUGGCUUCCGGAUGCCGAGACUGCCCGGGCCUUUCCUCAGCCACCAUUGCAACCGCACAGGGGAACAACGGAUAGCACUGCAUCUCAAAUGCGAGACGCCAUUUGCUCUUACUUGGCCAAGCAUCAUCCGCUGAGAACGCAAACGCAUGCCUAGCCCGUCGUAGGAAUGCCCAUUAUGUGACUGUCCAUUUGCAUGCGUGUGGCAAUUCCUUGCGUUUGUUUGGCAGCAUUGUUGAAAUAUAUGUACCUACAUGGGAUAAUUUUCUUUUACGAACUUUGCGCACCAGCGACGAAGACAUCGUAUAGGUCUACCGACAUACUAGUCGCUUUCAAAAGUGAGGUAUCUUGUUGAACGGCAUAUAAGAUAGGGAGUUUGAGCAGGUUCUGUGUUGGUGUUCUGCGGCUCGGCGGCAGCUCAAGGACGAAUGCCCCGCAUCCCGAGCAGAUCCUAGAUAGGCCGCGAGGGCUGGGAGACAUCAAUUCUGUUCGAUCGCGUUCCAUCACUCAUCAACGAAAAGACGUGUGACUGGUAUAAUAACGUGUUUUCCUCGUAAUUGUGUACACACAUACGCGUGC